Molecule: ribosomal RNA, 388 nt
Filed under: uncultured bacterium
Lineage: Bacteria
Description: partial 16S ribosomal RNA
Rfam family: Bacterial small subunit ribosomal RNA
Source: RNAcentral
UGGGGAAUAUUGCACAAUGGGCGAAAGCCUGAUGCAGCGACGCCGCGUGAGGGAUGACGGCCUUCGGGUUGUAAACCUCUUUCAGCAGGGAAGAAGCGAAAGUGACGGUACCUGCAGAAGAAGCGCCGGCUAACUACGUGCCAGCAGCCGCGGUAAUACGUAGGGCGCAAGCGUUGUCCGGAAUUAUUGGGCGUAAAGAGCUCGUAGGCGGUUAGUCGCGUCUGCUGUGAAAUCUCGAGGCUCAACCUCGGGCUUGCAGUGGGUACGGGCUGACUAGAGUGCGGUAGGGGUGACUGGAAUUCCUGGUGUAGCGGUGGAAUGCGCAGAUAUCAGGAGGAACACCGAUGGCGAAGGCAGGUCACUGGGCCGCAACUGACGCUGAGGAGCG